GGGACUGUACGACUCGGGGGUAAGAGCGGCCGGACGUAAUCCGGUGGAUGCGGGUUCAAGUCCCGCCAGGACCCACAA
RNAcentral lists this transfer RNA (78 nucleotides) under Actinobacteria bacterium OV320. Its description in RNAcentral is "tRNA-Tyr". Lineage: Bacteria; Bacillati; Actinomycetota; Actinomycetes. The record is from RNAcentral.